Coffea arabica (coffee) is the source of this 3050-nucleotide RNA transcript. It is a transcript of the gene named putative late blight resistance protein homolog R1B-16, with no coding region annotated. The record is from RefSeq and is a predicted model, not a curated record. NCBI's taxonomy places the organism in Eukaryota, Viridiplantae, Streptophyta, Magnoliopsida, Gentianales, Rubiaceae.
AUCUCUGCCUCUCGAAUAGAGUGAUCACGAGGUCCAUACUGGUGAAUGGCUGGCUACAAACUAGUCGGUAUCAUGUAUGUGGAUGGUUGGCAUAAUUAGCGAACAUGGUGUUGUAUGACUUCGCAGUGAUCAGAGGUUCUCCUGAUUGUUGUGUUCUGCUGGUUGAUCGCUCAUACCAGUAACAAUAUCAAGGCUCAGAUCAGCAGUCUGGAGGUAUCGCUUCAUCAUAUCAUAUAUAGCUUGGAAGGACAAGAUAUUCGCAAGACUUCCUGCCUUUCGUCAUCAGAAGGUAAAAUGGAAAUAACCCCUGAAAUUGUAGUUGGCUUUGAUGAUGAGGCAAAAGCAUUAAUCAAUCGACUCAUAAGAGGAUCCCAGUUGGAAAUUAUUCCCAUCGUGGGAAUGGCUGGACUUGGUAAGACAACUUUGGCUAAAAAAGUUUACAAUGCUCUUUCUAGUCAGCGCCAAUUUCACAUCCAACUUUGGUGUACUGUUUCUCAAGCAUAUAGCGUGAAAAAUUUGUUACUUCAACUUUUGUGCUCUGAUGGAGAACACUCUAGAAAAAAUGAAGAGCUCGGAAUUCUAGAUGAAGACGAAUUGCUUGAUAAGCUCCGUAAAAAGUUGCUGGGAAAUAAAUAUCUCGUUGUUUUUGAUGAUGUCUGGGAUGACAGGGUAUGGAAUGACUUGAGACUUUCAUUCCAAGGUGCCACGAAAGGAAGUAAAAUCCUCUUCACGAGUCGAAAUUCUAAUGUGGCUUCACAGAUUGAAUAUGGUGGGGAACCUCACAAUCUUCGCCUACUCACUGAUACACUGAGUUGGGAGUUACUGCAGAAGAAGGUGUUUGGAGAAAAGGAAUGUCCUGAAGGACUGCUUAAAAUUGGGAAGCAAAUUGCCAAAAAUUGCAAGGGAUUACCUUUUUCAGUUGUUAUCAUUUCUGGAAUUCUUGCAACUAAAGAAUAUGACCGUUGGGAUGAAGUGGCUGUUUAUGACACAGAUGAGUGCACGAAUAUAUUAGAGCUGAGUUACACGCAUCUACCACCAUAUUUGAAGCCGUGUCUUCUUUAUUUUGGAGCAUUUCGAGAAGACCAAGAAAUUCAAUCCAAGAAACUAAUGCAGUUAUGGAUUGCCGAAGGUUUUGUGCAAUGUACAGAUGCAAAAUGAUUGGAGGAUUUAGCAGAAGAAUACAUGAUGGACCUAAUUGGCAGAAAUUUAGUUAUGGUGGCCAAACAUAGAUCCAUAGGUGGAGUCAGAGCUUGCCACAUUCAUGAUUUGUUACAUAAGUAUUGUAUGGUCAAAGCCAAAGAAGAAAAUUUUCUACAAGUGCUGCAUGGGUAUGAUGAGCUUUCUACUUUCAAUGUGCCCCCAGACCUCUCCAGAUUGUCCGUUUGGUCUAAGGUUGAGCAUUUUAAGGAGUCGAGGCUAUUUUGUCCACAAUUAUCCACUCUGCUGUUUAUUAAUCUGAUUAGAAAUGACUCUGAGUCAUUCUUGGCUGAUGCCUCCUUUGUCUUCCAAAUUUACAAAGGUCUUAGAGUCUUGGAUAUAGAGCAAAUUGUUCUGCGGUACAAGGUUUUUCCAAGCGAGGUAGUAUCGCUUGUUGGGCUGAGGUACUUGGCUAUGCAAGGUGAGAUGAGGGUCAUCCCGCCCUCUAUAGCCAAACUCUCAAAUUUAGAAACUUUUCGCAUGAUAUCUGAUUACGGUAUUGUUUCAUUGCCAAGUACCUUGUGGAGCAUGACCAAGUUGAGGCAUCUACAUAUUGAGGGCUAUGAUGUCGUAUGGUCUUUGCCAAGAGAAAAUCUUGAGAACAAUUCUGGCUUGCUUAAUUUGGACACAUUUUCCACCUUAAGAGUUUCUUUGGACCAAAGAGUGGAAAACAUACUGAAAAAUAUUCCAAAUGUGCGCCAGCUAAAAAUCAAACUCUCGAAGGCAAAGAAAUCUACGACUAUAGGCUACUGCAACAUGAGUGGACUAGAAAGUCUAGAAUCACUCGAAGUGUGGGCAACGUCACUGCCACCGGAUCGCGUUGAGUUCUCUUUCCCAUCGACUUUAAAAAAGCUGGUCCUCAUAGGAUUGAACCUACCCUGGAGUAAAAUUUCAUUGAUUGAGGAACUGCCCAAUCUUGAGGUCCUGAAAUUACUCUACGACUCCUUCAAGGGUGAAAGAUGGGUCCUGACAGAAGGAGGGUUCCGCAAACUCAGGUUCUUGGCUUUGGAAAAUUUGGAUGUUGUCGAGUGGACAGACACAGAUCCUGAUGAUCAUUUCCCCUGUCUUCAGAAGUUGCUGAUGUCAGGACUUUCUAAAUUGGAACUGAUGCCAUCUUGUUUAGAGCAGAUUUCAGCUCUUGAAGUGAUUGAAUUGCGAAGUUGUAAGGCCUCUGUUAAGGAUUUGGUACAGAAAAUUGAGGAGGAGCAAAAGGACUGUGGAAAUGAAGAUCUGAGGAUCAUCCCCUAGCCAGUGCACAGAAUCUUAUGGGGCCAGCUUCCGCAUCAGAUGUUGUGAGAUGGGAGAAAAUGAGGCGUAAUAUGUUGCCUUGGCUGCUUUUGGAGAAAAUACGGAUUGUCUUUUACUCUGCAACUUUCUUUCUAUCAGCAUUACAGUGCUGAGCAUUGGAUUAGUGUUCUCAAAGUAAGUUCCCCAGAUUCAAAGCUUUCUGCGGCUACUUCAGCAAUCAGUCAGUUGUUGCUAUGAUUUUUGGUGGAGUUGCUCAUCUGUGUGGCUUUCAGCACUUGUUAGGUGGUCGAUGGUGUUCGUCAGUCUAGGUAUGUUUGGUGGAGUUGCUUGUUAGUGUAAUCUCGGACGGGCGAUGGGCAUGCCGAGAACCGCACUGGUGUCAAGAUUUCCAGCACAAGCAAAGCAAGUACUACUUAUUUCCUCUUGACAAGGAAGAGUAAUUCGGUUGAAAGACGCAAAAAUUGUUUGGGUAACAUUUGCUGCUGAAGUUUGUGUGAUUUUUGUGUCUUUUCUUUUCUUCUGUUGUGUGAAUUUGCCUAGCAGGUGGAGUUAUGAACGUGACUGUGUGUGUGAAUGACAUAUUUGGAAGACCUGUACUUCAUUGU